UACUUGGUUGAUCCUGCCAAGGAAGCACACUUAGGUCAUAGAUUAAGCCAUGCAAGUGUUAGUUCAGGUAACGAAACUGCGAAUAGCUCAUUAAUACGCUCAGAAUCUAUUUGGCGGCGACAACAGGUCUUAAAUGGAUAGCAGCAGCAACUCUGGUGCUAAUACAUGCGAAUGGUUUCUCCAGAUGUGAAUUAAUGG
This 198-nucleotide non-coding RNA is filed under the name Trichomonas vaginalis G3. RNAcentral's name for it is "Eukaryotic small subunit ribosomal RNA". It matches the Rfam family "Eukaryotic small subunit ribosomal RNA", at positions 1 to 204 of the family's 1831-position model. The record is from Rfam by way of RNAcentral. Lineage: Eukaryota; Parabasalia; Trichomonadida; Trichomonadidae.